AAUUUACUACAAGUUUGAUACAUCUUGUUCUUUCAUUUUUCUCUACCCCUAGGCUAUGCCGACUUGGGGUACCACUAUCUCUGGUCUCUGUGGUAGGGCGCUAUCUAUGGAGCUACGCCCUUGCCUCGCGCCGCCGCGCCGCUCACGUGUGAACCUGUAACACCCCGAAACAACGUGGGGUGAGAACUAACUCCAUAGUUCCCAGUGGG
RNAcentral lists this long non-coding RNA (209 nucleotides) under Ananas comosus (pineapple). RNAcentral describes it as "long non-coding RNA (ACOM_LNC037159)". Lineage: Eukaryota; Viridiplantae; Streptophyta; Magnoliopsida; Poales; Bromeliaceae. The record is from RNAcentral.